AGGAAAUUGAGUAGGAGAAAAAGAGCCAAACUGAAGCUUGUUCUCUAGAUGGUUAUGCUGCGAAAAGUUAUGAGCAACAGUACCAUUCGCUCUAUCAUGGUUUCCAGGAAACCCUAGCCUCUUAAAAUCAUCAACGCCACCAAAACCGCCCUGAGUUUGAUCACCCGAACUCUGAGUCGCCGCGAAUUGGGCUCCCCCAAACUGAUUCCGAGGAAGAGGAAAAGGGUUCUGCUGUAGGUGUUGAAACCCCACAUAAUUAGGAGCGAUGGGA
This 271-nucleotide unclassified non-coding RNA is filed under the name Hevea brasiliensis (rubber tree). The record is from RNAcentral. Lineage: Eukaryota; Viridiplantae; Streptophyta; Magnoliopsida; Malpighiales; Euphorbiaceae.